Molecule: long non-coding RNA, 301 nt
Organism: Physeter macrocephalus (sperm whale)
Lineage: Eukaryota; Metazoa; Chordata; Mammalia; Artiodactyla; Physeteridae
Exons: 3
Source: RefSeq, a predicted model, not a curated record
CUAGGGGCUGAAUUGAUUUACUCUAAUAAAGGUAGUACAGCUGGAACAGCAAUUGAAAUUAGAGUCACCACCUGAUUAAUUUUAUGAAAAUUAACUGGUGUUCUGCAAGAUCCAUAUAUCUUCUGCAUACAACAGAUAGAAAAAGGAAUCCAUUCAUUUUCAGAAAAAAAUGACAGUUUUUACAAGCACAGCCUAUGUCUGAGUUCCAGCCACCACCUAAUUGUGUGAUCUUAGCCAAAGGGUCAUUUCACAGGCUACGAGAUGUGGAAUUGCAAGAAUACUGGGGUCAGUUUCAUUCAGG